CCUGGCCUGUGGUACAGACCUAUUUAUGCACGACAUUUUGAGUAAAGUAGUUCAAAUUUAAAGCGUUAUCCUGGAUAGCUCUUCACUGACGAAUUUCCUUUCUAGUGCCUCCAUAAGUAACUGAUAACCGGCUAUUACAUGCCCAUGGCGGCUUAAAUUUUUUUUGAAGGAAAUCGACAUGUCUAACAUGAUCAAAGGUCAAGUGAAGUGGUUCAACGAGUCUAAAGGUUUUGGUUUUAUCACUCCUGCAGACGGUAGCAAAGAUGUGUUUGUACACUUCUCUGCUAUUCAGAACCAAGGCUUCAAGACCCUGGCAGAAGGCCAGACAGUACAGUUCUCUAUUGAGAACGGUGCUAAAGGUCCAUCAGCGGCUAACGUUACCGCUAUCUAAUCAGUUUUUGGCUGAUUAAAGAACCGCUUUGGCGGUUGGCCAAAAUGAUUAUU
RNAcentral lists this small RNA (444 nucleotides) under Serratia sp. DD3. Its description in RNAcentral is "cspA thermoregulator". It matches the Rfam family "cspA thermoregulator". Lineage: Bacteria; Pseudomonadati; Pseudomonadota; Gammaproteobacteria; Enterobacterales; Yersiniaceae. The record is from Rfam by way of RNAcentral.